Molecule: ribosomal RNA, 757 nt
Filed under: uncultured bacterium
Lineage: Bacteria
Description: bacterial SSU rRNA
Rfam family: Bacterial small subunit ribosomal RNA
Source: RNAcentral
GAUGAACGCUGGCGGCGCGCCUAACACAUGCAAGUCGAACGGUACCCCUCUCCGGAGGGAAGCGAGUGGCGAACGGCUGAGUAACACGUGGAGAACCUGCCCCCUCCCCCGGGAUAGCCGCCCGAAAGGACGGGUAAUACCGGAUACCCCGGGGUGCCGCAUGGCACCACGGCUAAAGCCCCGACGGGAGGGGAUGGCUCCGCGGCCCAUCAGGUAGACGGCGGGGUGACGGCCCACCGUGCCGACAACGGGUAGCCGGGUUGAGAGACCGACCGGCCAGAUUGGGACUGAGACACGGCCCAGACUCCUACGGGAGGCAGCAGUGGGGAAUCUUGCGCAAUGGGGGGAACCCUGACGCAGCGACGCCGCGUGCGGGACGGAGGCCUUCGGGUCGUAAACCGCUUUCAGCAGGGAAGAGUCAAGACUGUACCUGCAGAAGAAGCCCCGGCUAACUACGUGCCAGCAGCCGCGGUAAUACGUAGGGGGCGAGCGUUAUCCGGAUUCAUUGGGCGUAAAGCGCGCGUAGGCGGCCCGGCAGGCCGGGGGUCGAAGCGGGGGGCUCAACCCCCCGAAGCCCCCGGAACCUCCGCGGCUUGGGUCCGGUAGGGGAGGGUGGAACACCCGGUGUAGCGGUGGAAUGCGCAGAUAUCGGGUGGAACACCGGUGGCGAAGGCGGCCCUCUGGGCCGAGACCGACGCUGAGGCGCGAAAGCUGGGGGAGCGAACAGGAUUAGAUACCCUGGUAGUCCCAGCCGUAA